This 2825-nucleotide long non-coding RNA is filed under the name Malus domestica (apple). Its description in RNAcentral is "long non-coding RNA (MDOM_LNC012830)". The record is from RNAcentral. Lineage: Eukaryota; Viridiplantae; Streptophyta; Magnoliopsida; Rosales; Rosaceae.
CCAUGUGUGUGUCUUUCCUUUGCCCAUGUGUGUGUGUUUUCCUUUGCAUUUGCACACACAUGUUCUUCAUUAUUUCAGCCAACAAUCCACCCAUUUUCUACCCAUGCCAAGCCCUCCAUGCCGUGCCUUUCUUGGUGUAUGUGUGCUGUCCAUGUAGAGUGUGUGUAUGCCCUCCAACCUGUGCAGUUUGCAUGUGUGUAGCUGUCCAUGUUUCUCUUUUGCAUGUGCCAUGCCUUCUCUUUCUAGUUGUGCAUUUCCACUUGCUCCAAAGCCAAAUGAGUGCAAUCAUAACCCCAUUUGCUGCUGAGUGUUGAUGACAAAGCAAAACACAAAACAAGUGCCUUUACUUUCUCAUUUUAUUAGCCAAAUCUGCUUAGCCCUUUUCUGAACCUUUCAGUGUUAUAAUGCUCAUAACUUCUUCUAGAAACAUAAUAUUAACAAUCCGUAAAUUGCUCCAGAAAAUAGACAUCCAUAACUUUCCAAACAUAUAAGGCUCAUUCUCUCAUUCAUUCUGAGCUAUUCGUAACAUGCUUCCAAAUUCAGCUAAUCUGCACAGGCAGUUUUGAUGAAUUUGUUACUUAAUAUCUCAGUUGUGCUACUUUUCUUUUCUUUGCUUGAUAAAUCACACAAAACACAAAAACAUAGUAAAUAGCUCAAAAAUAUUAGGAACUAUUUAAGAAAAGACAAGUGAAUUUUAUGUAAAAUAUAUAUAAAUAUGAGCUUAUCAAAUACCCCCACACUUAACUGUUGCUAGUUCUUGAGCAAAAUAAAGAAAACAAAACACAACCUAAACCUUCCAACGUUUGCCUCAAGGAUUUCCAACGCACAUGACAAGUUAAAAAUCAUCAUUCCCACAGAUUUUAGUCAACUUAACACUUGAGCACAUACUUAAUCACAGUCACCACUUACUAUUUCACAUUUAACCAAUUAAAACGUUGUUUUGAAUGUAGUAACAUGCCUUAGAGAAUUUGCUCAAUUCCUUACAAGAUAUACACUCAAUUUUCCCUCAGAUUUUCUGACUACACACCCUACACUAGGUACAUGUGAGAAGAUUGAUGUAAACAUGAAAACUAGUACUCACAUAUAUGUAUAACAAGAAAGCAUUUUCUGGUAUUAAUAAGCAUGUUUAGAUAUGAUCUCAUGAAUGGAAUGCUACUACUUAGAUGCGAGAACCAGUGACACCAUAUACUCAUACCAAAUUCAAACUCCACAAAUUGAAACACAUAAAACUGAAGAUAGAAGUCAAGGGUUGUAACCGGGCUUGGGGUAUUGGCUAAUAAAGAAAGGAUAGGAAUAACAAAUGUUCUUAAAGCGAUAGCAAGCAAAGCAAUGAAAUAGACACUUUGAAAUUCACUUUAGAAUGCAGAAUCAACUUUUAAAUACAAAGGGAAGAUUCAUGCAACACUUAGGGCUCUUUUCCACAACUUUUCUUCUUUUCAUUCUAUUUUCCACGAAUGGUUUUUUUUUUUUUUUCUUUUUCUUUUCUACCUGUGCCUUAUUAAGGACGUUGGCACACACACACACACAUAAGAAUCACUUCCCCCACACUUGUUUUCUGCAAAAGUUCAACAAAAGGAAUUCCUUCUAAAAUAUGUUUUACUAUGCUUCAAGAACAAGGGUAUGGAUGGUCCUAAUCUAGGCUAGGUGAGGAUAGUGUGGGUUAACAAAGAACAUAGGCUACACAAGGCUCAACAGGGUUAAACUUAAACACAUAAUGAAAUAGGGCAUGGCAAUUUGGCUAUGGUGGUCGCUACACAACUUCAUCUUGAAUAUGUAUUAUGCAAAUCAUAAACAUGCUUUGAAUGAAAUAGGCAUGAGUUCUAGCAUUUGGAACUAACUGAUGAAACGACUUCUAAGUAGCAACCAAGCAAAGAAUAAUGAGAUCAUGCAACGACUUUAGAAAACAAUGAUGCACAUAUUAUUAACUCUCCAAAUAAACGUUUAGGCUCAAGUCUCACAAGGUUGUAGCGUACACCAAAGAGUAAAUCAAAUUUUCAUCCAUGUUUAUAACUCUCUUUAACAGAGUAGAGUAAAAAUUAGACAUGACAAGUAUGGCAAAGUAAAAAUUAGACAGAGUAGAGUUUAAGAAUGCAAAUCUGGUUUUAGAGAUAGAUGAUCUUGUUAUCUUUCCACAGCUUUGAUCUCGAACUGGUUUGGAAUUUUGAGCGAGGAAUAUGAGAGUUCCUUGGUUUCAAAUCAGACUCCUUCUGCUGGGUUGAUUUGAUUAUGCAGUCUGGAUUCUUCUCUGCUUGUUUCUUCUGCACGGCGAGCAGGCACGAGGUAGAGGUGUUGGUCUGUUUCUUUCUUCAAUCUUUCCAAGUGCCCACCUCUUGCUUUCUUUCUCCUUAUCCCUAGCUGAGGAUGAAUUGGCAAAUUGUCUCCACAUGCUUCGAGGUAUCAUUUUCACUUCCCUUAUCUGUUCCCCAGGCAGAUGUGGUAGACGAAGAUGAAGCAUAAAAUGAUGAAGAUGAGUACUCAAGAGCAAGGCUACGUAAGAAAUCAGGAAGGGGUUCCAGGCAGUCGGUUCCAGAUCGAAAAAUUGAUACCAAGUGCUGGCUGAUUGCUCUCUUUCUACUUGUCCCAAAACAACGACAAGGAGAAUGACAGGGAGAAAGCAUGAUAUGAGAUAUUCUUGCUUUCAACCUUCAUGAUAUAAAAUACUUUUGCUUUGGAUGAGUUGUUUGCAGAGGUACCCCAAGGAAUAAGGAACAUUGAGUGACUCGAGAGGGUUUGUUGGAAAGGCAUUCUCGGAGAAGAAGAAGGGUUAUGUAUGUUUGCCUUGCAAUAGAGGGUGAAGGGUGACGUUUAUAAGAAUUUAUAACUGG